UCUGGUUGAUCCUGCCAGAGGUUACUGCUAUCGGUGUUCGCCUAAGCCAUGCGAGUCAUAUGUUCUUCGUGAACAUGGCGUACUGCUCAGUAACACGUGGAUAACCUGCCCUUGGGACCGGGAUAACCCCGGGAAACUGGGGAUAAUACCGGAUAACGCAUAUCUGCUGGAAUGCUUUAUGCGUAAAAUGGAUUUGUCUGCCCAAGGAUGGGUCUGCGGCCUAUCAGGUAGUAGUGGGUGUAAUGUACCUACUAGCCUACGACGGGUACGGGUUGUGAGAGCAAGAGCCCGGAGAUGGAUUCUGAGACAUGAAUCCAGGCCCUACGGGGCGCAGCAGGCGCGAAAACUUUACAAUGCGGGAAACCGUGAUAAGGGGACACCGAGUGCCAGCAUCAUAUGUUGGCUGUCCAGAUGUGUAAAAUACAUCUGUUAGCAAGGGCCGGGCAAGACCGGUGCCAGCCGCCGCGGUAACACCGGCGGCCCGAGUGGUGAUCGUGAUUAUUGGGUCUAAAGGGUCCGUAGCCGGUUUGGUCAGUCCUCCGGGAAAUCUGACGGCUCAACCGUUAGGCUUUCGGUGGAUACUGCCAGACUUGGAACCGGGAGAGGUAAGAGGUACUACAGGGGUAGGAGUGAAAUCUUGUAAUCCCUGUGAGACCACCUGUGGCGAAGGCGUCUUACCAGAACGGGUUCGACGGUGAGGGACGAAAGCUGGGGGCACGAACCGGAUUAGAUACCCGGGUAGUCCCAGCCGUAAACGAUGCUCGCUAGGUGUCAGGCAUGGCGCGACCGUGUCUGGUGCCGCAGGGAAGCCGUGAAGCGAGCCACCUGGGAAGUACGGCCGCAAGGCUGAAACUUAAAGGAAUUGGCGGGGGAGCACAACAACGGGUGGAGCUUGCGGUUUAAUUGGACUCAACGCCGGACAACUCACCGGGGACGACAGCAAUAUGUAGGCCAGGCUAAAGACCUUGCCUGAAUCGCUGAGAGGAGGUGCAUGGCCGUCGCCAGUUCGUACUGUGAAGCAUCCUGUUAAGUCAGGCAACGAGCGAGACCC
RNAcentral lists this ribosomal RNA (1051 nucleotides) under uncultured euryarchaeote. RNAcentral describes it as "bacterial SSU rRNA". It matches the Rfam family "Archaeal small subunit ribosomal RNA", at positions 1 to 1053 of the family's 1478-position model. Lineage: Archaea; Methanobacteriati; Methanobacteriota. The record is from RNAcentral.